Molecule: ribosomal RNA, 287 nt
Filed under: uncultured soil bacterium
Lineage: Bacteria
Description: partial 16S ribosomal RNA
Rfam family: Bacterial small subunit ribosomal RNA
Source: RNAcentral
AGAGUGAACGCUGGCGGUAGGCCUAACACAUGCAAGUCGAACGGCAGCACGGUAAGAGCUUGCUCUUAUGGGUGGCGAGUGGCGGACGGGUGAGGAAUACAUCGGAAUCUACCUUUUGGGUGGGGGAUAACGUAGGGAAACUUACGCUAAUACCGCAUACGCCCGUUCGGGGGAAAGGCCGGGGACCGAGCAAGUGGCCAGGUGCUGAUAGAUGAGGCCGAGUGUCGGAUUAGCUAGUUGGUGAGGUAAUGGCUCACCAAGGCGACGACGUCCGUAGCUGGUCUGAG